GACGAACGCUGGCGGCGUGCUUAACACAUGCAAGUCGAGCGGUAAGGCCUUUCGGGGUACACGAGCGGCGAAAGGGUGAGUAACACGUGGGUGAUCUGCCCUGCACUUCGGGAUAAGCCUGGGAAACUGGGUCUAAUACCGGAUAUGACCUCCUAUCGCAUGGUGGGUGGUGGAAAGAUUUAUCGGUGCAGGAUGGGCCCGCGGCCUAUCAGCUUGUUGGUGGGGUAAUGGCCUACCAAGGCGACGACGGGUAGCCGACCUGAGAGGGUGACCGGCCACACUGGGACUGAGACACGGCCCAGACUCCUACGGGAGGCAGCAGUGGGGAAUAUUGCACAAUGGGCGAAAGCCUGAUGCAGCGACGCCGCGUGAGGGAUGACGGCCUUCGGGUUGUAAACCUCUUUCAGCAGGGACGAAGCGUAAGUGACGGUACCUGCAGAAGAAGCACCGGCUAACUACGUG
RNAcentral lists this ribosomal RNA (462 nucleotides) under uncultured bacterium. RNAcentral describes it as "partial 16S ribosomal RNA". It matches the Rfam family "Bacterial small subunit ribosomal RNA", at positions 28 to 507 of the family's 1533-position model. The record is from RNAcentral.